RNAcentral lists this transfer RNA (68 nucleotides) under Streptomyces griseoloalbus. RNAcentral describes it as "tRNA-Thr". Lineage: Bacteria; Bacillati; Actinomycetota; Actinomycetes; Kitasatosporales; Streptomycetaceae. The record is from RNAcentral.
CGCGGCGGUGGCGUACGCGCUGUGGCCGGUGUUCACGACGGUCGUCGGUUCGACGUCGGCCGCCGCGC